GAAAUAUUUUUUCAUCAUGCAUUAGCAUUAUGUCAUUCCUACAAGUGAUCCCCCAUCCAGGAUUGGAAGAAGUGCUAUAUGAAGACUUCGAAAUCAAAUAGAAUAUAUUUUUUUUUCCAUUCCUCAUGAGCCACUUAUUUCUCGGAAAUAAGAGAUCAAAGUGAUCUUCUUGCUUUUUCUCAAUAAGUCGACGGCGUUACACCAUUGAGAUACUGGGAAUAAACUGGAGCAAAUAUAGGAUACACCGGAUUAGUUACAAUGGUCUAAUAUAUGUUC
Molecule: long non-coding RNA, 276 nt
Filed under: Olea europaea subsp. europaea
Lineage: Eukaryota; Viridiplantae; Streptophyta; Magnoliopsida; Lamiales; Oleaceae
Source: RNAcentral